AUUGCCUCAGUAACGGCGAGUGAAGCGGCAACAGCUCAAAUUUGAAAUCUGGCCUCUUUGGGGUCCGAGUUGUAAUUUGUAGAGGAUGUUUCGGGUACCGCCUCGGUUUAAAUUUCUUGGAACAGAAUGUCAGAGAGGGUGAGAAUCCCGUCUUGGACCGGCGGUAGGGCCCAUGUGAAACUCCUUCGACGAGUCGAGUUGUUUGGGAAUGCAGCUCAAAAUGGGUGGUAAAUUUCAUCUAAAGCUAAAUAUUGGCCAGAGACCGAUAGCGCACAAGUAGAGUGAUCGAAAGAUGAAAAGCACUUUGAAAAGAGAGUUAAACAGUAUGUGAAAUUGUUGAAAGGGAAGCGCUUACAACCAGACUUGCGCGCGGCGGUUCCCCCUUCCUUUUGGUUGGGCUACUCCGUCGUGUCCAGGCCAACAUCGGUUCUGGGGGUCGGUUAAAGACCCUGGGAAUGUAUCUACCCUUCGGGCGUAGACUUAUAGCUCAGGGUGUCAUGCGACCUCCCGGGACCGAGGAACGCGCUUCGGCUCGGAUGUUGGCGUAAUGGUUGUCAGCGACCCGUCUUGAAACACGGACCAAGGAGUCUAACAUCUAUGCGAGUGUUUGGGUGUCAAACCCGGAACGCGAAAUGAAAGUGAACGGAGGUAGGAAGCCUUGGCUGCACUAUCGACCGAUCCUGAUGUCUUCGGAUGGAUUUGAGUAAGAGCAUAGCUGUUGGGACCCGAAAGAUGGUGAACUAUGCCUGAAUAGGGUGAAGCCAGAGGAAACUCUGGUGGAGGCUCGCAGCGGUUCUGACGUGCAAAUCGAUCGUCAAAUUUGGGUAUAGGGGCGAAAGACUAAUCGAACCAUC
This 854-nucleotide ribosomal RNA is filed under the name Marinophialophora garethjonesii. RNAcentral's name for it is "eukaryotic LSU rRNA". It matches the Rfam family "Eukaryotic large subunit ribosomal RNA", at positions 74 to 944 of the family's 3401-position model. The record is from RNAcentral. Lineage: Eukaryota; Fungi; Ascomycota; Eurotiomycetes; Chaetothyriales; Herpotrichiellaceae.